This 453-nucleotide unclassified non-coding RNA is filed under the name uncultured fungus. RNAcentral's name for it is "sequence contains ITS2". The stretch from base 1 to 154 matches the Rfam family "5.8S ribosomal RNA". The record is from RNAcentral. Lineage: Eukaryota; Fungi.
AACUUUUGGCAAUGCAUCUCUUGGCCCUCGCAUCGAUGAAGAACGCAGCGAAAUGCGAUACGUAAUGUGAAUUGCAGAAUUCAGUGAAUCAUCGAAUCUUUGAACGCACAUUGCACUCUCCGGUAUUCCGGAGAGUAUGCUUGUUUGAGUAUCUGUAAACCUCUCAACUCUAACGGCGCUUGCGUCGCGAGGAUUGGAUUUGAGCGAUCCCGACUCUUUCUCACGAAAGAGGAGGGUCGCUUGAAAUGCAGGUGCAGCAGGACAUUCUUCUGAGCUAAAAGCAUAUCUAUUUAGUCCCGUCAAACGGAUUAUUACUUUUGCUUCAGCUAACAUAAAGGUCGAAUGCGCCACAAUCGCUGAUUGCAGGAAAACUCGUUCGUAAGAACUUGUAAACUCGAUCUCAAAUCAAGUAAGACUACCCGCUGAACUUAAGCAUAUCAAUAAGCGGAGGCU